RNAcentral lists this ribosomal RNA (3301 nucleotides) under Nitrospiraceae bacterium AH_259_D15_M11_P09. Its description in RNAcentral is "Bacterial large subunit ribosomal RNA". It matches the Rfam family "Bacterial large subunit ribosomal RNA". The record is from Rfam by way of RNAcentral. Lineage: Bacteria; Pseudomonadati; Nitrospirota; Nitrospiria; Nitrospirales; Nitrospiraceae.
UGUUAAGUUACUAAGGGUGUACGGUGGAUGCCCAGGCAUCAGGAGGCGAUGAAGGGCGUGGCCAGCUACGAUAAGCCUCGGGGAGCCGCAAGCAGGCCGUGAUCCGGGGAUGCCCGAAUGGGGAAACCCAGGCGAUGAAUGCCGCCUAUCCUCCGCUGAAUCCAUAGGCGGAGCGAAGCCCACGCAGGGAAGUGAAACAUCUCAGUACCUGCAGGAAAAGAAAGCAACCGCGAUUCCCCCAGUAGUGGCGAGCGAAAAGGGAACAGCCUAAACCCCACAUAUGCCAAGCCCGUGAGCGUUGUAUGUGGGGUGUCGUAGGCCUUCGCCAGACGACGACACGGCGUUGUCAGCGAGUCAAAAACCAGGAUCUUAGCAGAACGGCCUGGAAAGGCCGGCCACAGAGGGUGACAGCCCCGUAUGCGAAAAGACCCUGGCUCGUUGGGUGAAGGUCCUGAGUACCACGGGGCCCGAGAAACCUUGUGGGAAUCUGGGAGGACCACCUUCCAAGGCUGAAUACUACCUGAUGACCGAUAGCGUACCAGUACCGUGAGGGAAAGGUGAAAAGAACCCCGGUGAGGGGAGUGAAAUAGAACCUGAAACCGUAUACCUACAAGCAGCGAAAGGGCUAUGGCCCGUAAGGGCAAGGCCUGAUCGCGUGCCUUUUGCUUAAUGAGCCGGCGAGUUAUUCUGCGCAGCAAGGUUAAGCCGGAGAGGCGGAGCCGCAGCGAAAGCGAGUCCGAAAUGGGCGUUGAGUUGCGUAGAAUAGACCCGAAGCGAGGUGAUCUACCCAUGGCCAGGGUGAAUCCGCCGUAACAGGCGGAGGAGGCCCGAACCGAUGUUUGUUGCAAAAAGCUCGGAUGAGCUGUGGGUAGGGGUGAAAGGCCAAUCAAACCUCGUAAUUGCUGGUUCUCCCCGAAAUAGCUUUAGGGCUAGCCUCGUUUCAGCCGUGGCGGAGGUAGAGCACUGGAUGAGCUAGGGGCGUUCCAACGCUACCGAACCCAACCAAACUCCGAAUGCCGCCACUGGACGGACGGGAGUCAGACUACGGGCGCUAAGGUCCGUGGUCAAAAGGAAAACAGUCCAGACCGCCAGCUAAGGUCCCCAAUCGUGAGCUAAGUGGGAAAGGUUGUAAGUUUGCUCAGACAGCCAGGAGGUUGGCUUAGAAGCAGCCACCCUUUAAAGAGUGCGUAAUAGCUCACUGGUCGAGCGAACCUGCGCCGAAAAUGUAACGGGGCUUAAGUUCACAACCGAAGCUGCGGACUUGGCAGCCGCAAGGCUGCUGAGUGGUAGGGGAGCAUUCUCUGGAACGCGAAGGUUGACCGACAAGGACAACUGGAUUCCAGAGAAGAGAUUAUGCCGGCAUAAGUAGCGAUAAACGAUGUGAGAAUCAUCGUCCCCGUAAGCCCAAGGUUUCCUGGCCUAUGUUCGUCAGGUCAGGGUUAGUCGGUCCCUAAGCCGAGGCCGAAAGGCGUAGGCGAUGGAAAACAGGUCAAUAUUCCUGUACCGCCGCGUUGGCGUGAUCAGCGAAGGGGGGACGCAGGAGGGUAGGUACCGCCGGGUCCCUGGAAUACCCGGUCUAAGCAUGUAGGCGGGGCUCGUAGGCAAAUCCGCGAGCCCGUUACCGCCGAGAUGUGAUGGGGAGGCCGCAAGGCCACAAACGGACCGAUCCCACACUGCCGAGAAAAGCCUCGUAGCGAGUCAACGUGGUGACCGUACCGCAAACCGACACAGGUGGGUGGGUGGAAUACACUCAGGGGCGUGAGAGAACACUCCCUAAGGAACUCUGCAAUCUAACCCCGUAACUUCGGAAGAAGGGGUGCCUCGCGUACGUGAGGGGCUUUACGCUCCGAGCGGAACGAGGUUGCAAUAAAGUGGCUCUAGCGACUGUUUACCAAAAACACAGGACUCUGCGAACACGCAAGUGGACGUAUAGGGUCUGAUGCCUGCCCGGUGCUGGAAGGUUAACCGGAGGUGUUAGCCGCAAGGCGAGGCACUGAAGCGAAGCCCCAGUAAACGGCGGCCGUAACUAUAACGGUCCUAAGGUGGGUGAAGCUGCCUUAGUAAAAUCUGGCCAUAUGCUGGAACGUCUGAGAAUCUCCGACUACUUGUCGAGCAAUCGACAGUGACAAUGUCUGGAGUGCAGAUUAUCAGCAGGAAAGAUCGCAUCCAAGGACGGGUGCGAAAUCCUCAGAGACUUGACGCCAGACAGUCUGAGCUCUUUCCAGUUCAGAUUGAAGGGAAAGUCCGACCUGCAUGGCGACAUGCAGAGACCGGCAGAAAUGCCCGGUCCCCAUCAUAAGGCUAAACAGACCAGAUGGGUAACAAGAGUGAGCGAAAUUCCUUGUCGGGUAAGUUCCGACCUGCAUGAAUGGCAUAACGACUGGAGCGCUGUCUCGGGGAGUGACUCAGCGAAUUUGUUGUUCCGGUGAAGAAGCCGGGUACCCGCAACUAGACGGAAAGACCCUGUGCACCUUUACUACAACUUGACAUUGGGUGUUGGACGAGUAUGUGUAGGAUAGGUGGGAGGCUGUGAAGCGGGGGCGCUAGUUCCCGCAGAGCCACCGUUGAAAUACCACCCUUACUUUUCUGGCAUUCUAACCCGGCCCUGUUAGCCAGGGCGAGGACAGUGUCUGGUGGGUAGUUUGACUGGGGCGGUCGCCUCCCAAAAGGUAACGGAGGCGCCCAAAGGUUCCCUCAGGCUGGUCGGUAAUCAGCCGUCGAGUGUAAAGGCAGAAGGGAGCUUGACUGCGAGACCGACAGGUCGAGCAGAGACGAAAGUCGGGCUUAGUGAUCCGGUGGUUCUGUGUGGAAGGGCCAUCGCUCAACGGAUAAAAGGUACGCCGGGGAUAACAGGCUGAUCUCCCCCAAGAGUUCACAUCGACGGGGAGGUUUGGCACCUCGAUGUCGACUCAUCGCAUCCUGGGGCUGAAGCUGGUCCCAAGGGUCGGGCUGUUCGCCCGUUAAAGCGGUACGAGAGUUGGGUUCAGAACGUCGUGAGACAGUUCGGUCCCUAUCUGUUGUGGGCGGAGGAGAUUUGAGAGGGCCUCUCGCUAGUACGAGAGGACUGCGAGGGACGGACCUCUAGUGUGCCGGUUGUCGCGCCAGCGGCAGCGCCGGGUAGCUAUGUCCGGUUGGGAUAACCGCUGAAAGCAUCUAAGCGGGAAGCCUGCCUCAAGAUGAGAUCUCCCGGAGGGUAACCUCCCUAAAGGCCACUCGUAGACUACGAGUUUGAUAGGCUGGGUGUGGAAGCGCUGUGAGGCGUGAAGCUAACCAGUACUAAUCGGCCGUGAGGCUUAACAUC